RNAcentral lists this unclassified non-coding RNA (2643 nucleotides) under Sitophilus oryzae (rice weevil). Its description in RNAcentral is "autophagy-related protein 9A, transcript variant X1". Lineage: Eukaryota; Metazoa; Arthropoda; Insecta; Coleoptera; Curculionidae. The record is from RNAcentral.
AGAAUUUAAAGAAGUUCUUAAAUGUCAAAUGUCAAUAAAUUUGAAUGUCAUCUAACCAUUACAAAACUACGAUCUACGUUUUUCGUUUUACAUUUUUAUAAAAUUAAUAAUCAACGAUGCAUUUCAUAUAUUAGAACAAUUUCAGCAAGAAUGCACUUUUAAUUUUUAAGAAAUACGAUCUAAAUCAUCAAGUUGGGAAGUGGAAUGGAAUUUACUUAACCUUUAGUGACAUUUUCUUUGUUAUCUUUAUCCAAAAUUUUUCGCAUAUUAUAUUCGAUCUAUUUUUGUCCUACUCUAUUUUGCUACAAAUUCACUGGGAGAUAUUAUUUAUAAUGCUGUUUUAUGCAUCCCUUAGAGCUUAACAUUAUCUACUAUGCACAAUUACGCAUCACUACACGAAUAUCCAGACCCAGAAGAGCAAGCUAUCCCUCAUCACCAUGUCUCUGAGCCUACGAGAUCUCGCUGGAAUCAUAUUGAUAACCUGGAUUCAUUUUUUAUCAGGGUCUACAAAUACCAUCAAAAGCAUGGAUUUUGGUGUCUUACCGUUACGGAAAUAGUAAAGUUGCACAAGUUCGUUUUCGUUUGUGGUUUGACUCUGUCUUUAUUAUACGCUGUCGAUUAUGGGAAAUUAUUUAACACCAAUCCAUCACAGAAGCAUCAAACGAUUUUUGAUGUUCUUCUUCCUUUUCAUGAGGUUAUGACAAAUAUGCCUCUAAUUGGUUGGCUGCUGCUCCUGUUUUUAAGUUUACUAUUUCUUUUGAGUUGUGUUAGAAAAUUAUACGCUAUUAUAACGUAUUGGGACAUCAAACAAUUUUAUAAUCAAGCUUUACACAUUAGCGACGACGAGCUGGAUAAUAUGACGUGGCACGACGUACAAGCUAAACUUAAGCAGGCACAACUAGAAUUGCAAAUGUGCAUUCACAAAAGGGAACUAACGGAAUUAGAUAUAUACCAUAGAAUACUCAGACAGACCAACUAUUUAGUCGCGUUAGUUAAUAAGAAAUUGUUGCCACCCAGAGAAGACUUUCCAUUCUUAGGAGAAAUUGUUUACUGGACCAAGGGUGUCAGAAUAAAUAUAAUGUUUUUGUUAUUUUGGUCUCCCUGGUCCUUGUUCGAAAAUCCGUGGCACUUAAAAGAAGAAUAUAAGAGAGCGGGACAGAGGGAAAAAUUAGCAACCAAGCUGGGCCAUCACGUGCUGUGGUUGUUUCUAGUGAAUGUUCUGGCAUCCCCUUUGAUCUUCGUCGGACAAAUAAUCUUCUACUUUUUCAGUUAUUUCGAUUUAAUUCGGCGAGAGCCUGGUAAAUUUGGGGUUAGGUAUUGGUCGCAGUUUGGCAGGCUCUAUUUAAGACAUUUCAAUGAGCUGGAUCACGAACUGCAUUCGAGGCUCACAAGGGCAUAUAAGCCGGCAACAAAAUAUUUAGAUUCAUUUAACAGUCCUUUGAUGGUUGUUAUAGCACAACACAUGGCGUUUAUAUGCAGUUCCCUCUUGGCAAUAUUAGUGACCUUGGGAUUCUUGGAUAACGAGAUUUUGUAUUGGGAUCAGGUAUUGACGAUAUUGGCCAUUUUGACAGCGAUUAUUACCGUUUGUCGUUCUGUUGUGCCCGAUGACACUCUAUUUUUGUGUCCAGAGUCCUUAUUGCAAGCCGUGGUACUGCAUACUCACUAUUUUACAGGCGAUUGGCAGGGAAUUGCUCAUACUAUACCAGUUAAAACGCGCUUUCAGCAGUUGUUCCAGUACAGAUUUGCAGCUUUGUUGGAGGAAUUUCUGUCGCCUCUCCUAACACCUUAUUUUUUACUGAGAUACGUUUAUCCACGAUCUUUGGAUCUAGUGGAUUUCUUCAGAAAUUUCACUGUAUCGGUUGUGGGCGUCGGUGAUGUAUGCAGUUUUGCGCAAAUGGACAUCCGUAGACACGGAAAUCCCGAUUGGCAACCUGAAGACACUUCUGCUUCUAUGGAGCCUACCGAUCAAUAUUCUCAAGCAGAAGACGGUAAAGUCGAGCUCUCUUUGAUGCAUUUCACCGCAACGAAUCCGGAAUGGGAUCCUCCAAGAGAUGUGCGAGGUUUUGUGGAUAGCGUAAACGAUGAAGUCAGAGACUAUGAACUGUUCGAUCUAGGAGUUAUGUCUAGCAUGGAAUUGGAUGCGCGUUCUUUGCCCAUCUUCAGGACCUCUUCGAUAGGGUUGCCUGCCUUGCCCAGCAAGUCGAAUCUCGCGAGAAAGAGCAUGUUUAAUUGGAAAGCCGAAGGGCCCGAUUUCUUUACGGGAGCUUCCAAUAUGCGAGCCAGUACGCUGGUGUUGCAUACUCAGCAUGCUAAUAAGGCUAAAUCCGAACAAAUACCGGUAAAGAAAUAAAGCGUGUAAAUCAUGAAUAUUAACAGGAAUAGGCAAUCAGUUGAGGAUAUGAUAAAAUGCGGCAGAGGAAUACAUUUGAAGACGAAACUGUAUUGAAAUAUAAAACGGUAUCCAACCACCGCUACCCACAGCCGGCAGCACAAGAAACCACGCCACUGCUGUUUAACAAAUGAGAAACAGUUCUAGUCAAAAUAUGUAGUAAACGUAUAUCGAAAAAUUGUCUUUUAAAUCGUACGAAUUACAUAGUUUUGUGUAUAUAUUUUUAUAAGUAAAAUGAUGCUGUAUAUCGCGAA